GAGUUUGAUCUUGGCUCAGGAUGAACGCUGGCGGCGUGCCUAAUACAUGCAAGUCGAGCGAACGGACGAGAAGCUUGCUUCUCUGAUGUUAGCGGCGGACGGGUGAGUAACACGUGGAUAACCUACCUAUAAGACUGGGAUAACUUCGGGAAACCGGAGCUAAUACCGGAUAAUAUUUUGAACCGCAUGGUUCAAAAGUGAAAGACGGUCUUGCUGUCACUUAUAGAUGGAUCCGCGCUGCAUUAGCUAGUUGGUAAGGUAACGGCUUACCAAGGCAACGAUGCAUAGCCGACCUGAGAGGGUGAUCGGCCACACUGGAACUGAGACACGGUCCAGACUCCUACGGGAGGCAGCAGUAGGGAAUCUUCCGCAAUGGGCGAAAGCCUGACGGAGCAACGCCGCGUGAGUGAUGAAGGUCUUCGGAUCGUAAAACUCUGUUAUUAGGGAAGAACAUAUGUGUAAGUAACUGUGCACAUCUUGACGGUACCUAAUCAGAAAGCCACGGCUAACUACGUACG
Molecule: ribosomal RNA, 518 nt
Filed under: uncultured microorganism
Description: bacterial SSU rRNA
Rfam family: Bacterial small subunit ribosomal RNA
Source: RNAcentral